RNAcentral lists this ribosomal RNA (800 nucleotides) under uncultured bacterium. RNAcentral describes it as "bacterial SSU rRNA". It matches the Rfam family "Bacterial small subunit ribosomal RNA", at positions 8 to 820 of the family's 1533-position model. The record is from RNAcentral.
AGAGUUUGAUCAUGGCUCAGGAUGAACGCUGGCGGCGUGCUUAACACAUGCAAGUCGAACGAUUAAACCAACUUCGGUUGGAUAUAAAGUGGCGAACGGGUGAGUAACACGUGACCAACCUACCCCGUGCACCGGGACAACCACCGGAAACAGUGGCUAAUACCGGAUAAUGCUAGAUAAGCGCAUGUUUUUCUAGCCAAAGCACAUACGGCACGGGAUGGGGUCGCGGCCCAUCAGGUUGUAGGCGGGGUAACGGCCCACCUAGCUUUCGACGGGUAGCCGAGCUGAGAGGCUGAUCGGCCACAUUGGGACUGAGAUACGGCCCAGACUCCUACGGGAGGCAGCAGUGGGGAAUUUUGCGCAAUGGGGGAAACCCUGACGCAGCAACGCCGCGUGCGGGAUGAAGGCCUUCGGGUUGUAAACCGCUUUCAGUAGGAAAGAACACAAUGACGGUACCUACAGAAGAAGCCCCGGCUAACUACGUGCCAGCAGCCGCGGUAAUACGUAGGGGGCAAGCGUUAUCCGGAUUCAUUGGGCGUAAAGCGCGCGUAGGUGGACAUCUAAGCGGGACCUCUAAUCCAAGGGCUCAACCUUUACGGCCGGGUUCCGAACUGGAUGUCUCGAGUUGGGUAGGGGAGGUCGGAAUUCCCGGUGUAGCGGUGGAAUGCGCAGAUAUCGGGAAGAACACCGAUGGCGAAGGCAGACCUCUGGGCCUUUAACUGACACUAAGGCGCGAAAGCUGGGGGAGCAAACAGGAUUAGAUACCCUGGUAGUCCCAGCCGUAAACGAUGGGCGCUAGG